GGGGAUUUUUUCUGUCGCUGCUAACGAUGGUUUGAAUAUUGGUUUUAUUCGGUCCUCU
This 58-nucleotide transfer RNA is filed under the name Prosthogonimus cuneatus. Its description in RNAcentral is "tRNA-Ser". The record is from RNAcentral. Lineage: Eukaryota; Metazoa; Platyhelminthes; Trematoda; Plagiorchiida; Prosthogonimidae.